CCCCCAGCUCAAGCAGUGCAGUUAGUCUCAGUACUCCAGUGUGGAAGUUACAAGUCUACAAGUCCCAUCAAAAAUAUCAGCGAUGAAGUAUAUUGUGUGUAUUCUCUUGUUUCUGGCGGUCUUGGAGGGAUUCCAAUGUGCACCUACAUUUUGCUUAUUUUGGCCGUGUUAUAUAUCAAAUCAAAAUUCCAAUUCACACACAACAACUUAUCAAAAUACAUUCACGAAUACUGGUAACAACAACCGCAUAAUAGUUGGCAAAGGAGGUGCCAACCUUUUUGGACAACUACUUUUCUUAUAUUAAUACUACUACCUGUUGCCCGCGUAGAAUAUACAUUUUAGAAUAAGUA
Spodoptera litura is the source of this 350-nucleotide long non-coding RNA. RefSeq lists it as uncharacterized. Lineage: Eukaryota; Metazoa; Arthropoda; Insecta; Lepidoptera; Noctuidae. The record is from RefSeq and is a predicted model, not a curated record.